UGGGGAAUAUUGCACAAUGGAGGGAACUCUGAUGCAGCGACGCCGCGUGAACGAAGAAGGCUUUCGAGUCGUAAAGUUCUUUUAUAUGGGAAGAUAAUGACGGUACCAUAAGAAAAAGCCCCGGCUAACUACGUGCCAGCAGCCGCGGUAAUACGUAGGGGGCUAGCGUUGUCCGGAAUCACUGGGCGUAAAGGGUUCGCAGGCGGAAAUGCAAGUCAGGUGUAAAAGGCAGUAGCUUAACUACUGUAAGCAUUUGAAACUGCAUAUCUUGAGAAGAGUAGAGGUAAGUGGUAUUUUUAGUGUAGCGGUGAAAUGCGUAGAUAUUAAAAAGAAUACCGGUGGCGAAGGCGACUUACUGGGCUCAUUCUGACGCUGAGGAACGAAAGCGUGGGUAGCAAACAGG
RNAcentral lists this ribosomal RNA (403 nucleotides) under bacterium. RNAcentral describes it as "partial 16S ribosomal RNA". It matches the Rfam family "Bacterial small subunit ribosomal RNA", at positions 355 to 776 of the family's 1533-position model. The record is from RNAcentral.